Molecule: ribosomal RNA, 253 nt
Filed under: uncultured bacterium
Lineage: Bacteria
Description: partial 16S ribosomal RNA
Rfam family: Bacterial small subunit ribosomal RNA
Source: RNAcentral
GACAGAGGGUGCAAACGUUGUUCGGAAUUACUGGGCGUAAAGCGAGUGUAGGCGGCCUUGUAAGUCGGAUGUGAAAGCCCUGGGCUCAACCCAGGAAGUGCAUUCGAUACUGCGAGGCUUGAGUAUCGGAGAGGUUGGUGGAAUUCUCGGUGUAGAGGUGAAAUUCGUAGAUAUCGAGAGGAACACCGGUGGCGAAGGCGGCCAACUGGACGAAUACUGACGCUGAGACUCGAAAGCGUGGGGAGCAAACAGG